Molecule: long non-coding RNA, 739 nt
Organism: Osmerus eperlanus (European smelt)
Lineage: Eukaryota; Metazoa; Chordata; Actinopteri; Osmeriformes; Osmeridae
Exons: 2
Source: RefSeq, a predicted model, not a curated record
GGUGUGUGUGGUCGUUAGGGUAUGAGUGUAUGUGUGGUCGUUAGGGUAUGAGUGUGUGGCCGUUAGGGUAUGAGAGUGUGUGGUCGUUAGGGUAUGUGUGUGUGUGGUUGUUAGGGUGUGUGUGUGUGGUCGUUAGGGUAUGAGUGUGUUUGUGGUCGUUAGGGUAUGAGUGUGUGUGUGUGUGGUCGUUAGGGUAUGAGUGUGUGUGUGGUUGUUAGGGUGUGUGUGUGUGGUCGUUAGGGUAUGAGUGUGUGUGUGGUUGAAGGUUGUGAGGGAGCUUGAUAAAAUAUGCAGAGAUCAGAUAAAUUCUUCCAUGAUUUAAGUUAUUUUAAACAUAAAAUUGUUUAAUUUCUAAAUUAUGUUUUUAGUCCAAGGUUAGUCCAACGGUUUUCAUUUAAUUUACGUUUGGAUAGUUCUGUAGUUAAUGGAUGGCUUGUGCAAUAAAAUUAAAGAUGUUGAUUAUGAUGUUUGAAUUGAUCAGGUUAUUUUCAGCUUUCUCUGUGACUUCCUGUCUCACUUCCUGUGUUCUGUGACAGUUGAGGUCACAUGACCCCAUUAGCCCUGACAAUGUAGAAACACUAGCUUCCAGAAUUUAUCACUGCUUUUCUACUUUAUAUUCACAGUACUGACAAAACAGAUGCCAUGUAAAUUGUAUAUAAUGAAGUGGGAUCUGACCGAAGCUGACUGUUGCUUUAGUACAACAUUUUGAGAGACACUAAUUAAAGUCCUAUUUGCAAUA